Long non-coding RNA from Carassius gibelio (silver crucian carp), 252 nucleotides. RefSeq lists it as uncharacterized. The record is from RefSeq and is a predicted model, not a curated record. Lineage: Eukaryota; Metazoa; Chordata; Actinopteri; Cypriniformes; Cyprinidae. The transcript has 3 exons.
GGCAUGUACCUGUGGGGCAGUGCUGCAUGUACUGUGUGCAGCCACACCCAUGUGCUACAUAUGUCAAGAAGACAGCAACCCAUUGGCCCAAAUCUCUUUGCCUGCAUCAGAUACUGCAGCACACUCAGCUGACCCAGACGUGUUAGUUGAGACCUCUGGAUCUGAUGAAGGCUCUGCACUACAACAGGGUAACUUUUCAAAUUCUUGCAUUUGACUGACCUAACUGAACUUUGGCUAAACCUCAUUUGCACU